This is a long non-coding RNA of Arachis duranensis, 483 nucleotides long. RefSeq lists it as uncharacterized. NCBI's taxonomy places the organism in Eukaryota, Viridiplantae, Streptophyta, Magnoliopsida, Fabales, Fabaceae. The record is from RefSeq and is a predicted model, not a curated record. The transcript has 3 exons.
AGAGUCCAAUCUCUUGCUUAAUGAAUUUGUGAAGAUGUUUAAACAUAAAACCGGUUACGAGAUUGUGGAGCCUGCUCAUAUGGAUGUUGUGAGUGAUAGGAUCAAGCAUUGCUUGAAGCACAUAUCCGGAGAUGCCGAAGAGUGUUCUGUUUGUGCUGGGACUGUAAAAUGCAGGCUCUAUAAUUCAUGAAGCAGGGUUGAAAGUCAAGGGAAUUUUAUAAACUGGGUUGCAACUAACCAAACUGAAGAUGUUGGCAACAGCCUGGUUCAGAAGAAUCAAGAUGGUUUCAUAAUCAUGGUUGGAUAUGAUACCUUGAAAGUGAUAUGAUCAGUGAGUCACAAGGAUCUUCUCCUCUUAUAUCAUGAUGAUUUCCAAAAGUUUAAGUUGAAUUUUUGUUCAAUAUUGCCAAGGCAAUAAUAUUGAAACUAUUGCUUGCAUAAGCAAAGUUGUAACAUUGAUUGAAUCCUUUGUAUAAUAUAUAU